AUGUGGCGGAGGAGAGGAGGAAGAGGAUGAUGAGAAUCAUGAGAAGAGAGGUGUAGGUGGAGAGGAGAAGAGGGAGAGGAGAAGGAUUGGGAGGAGUGGGAGAGAGGAGGAAGAGGAGGAGGAGUGGAAGAGAGGAAGAAGAGGAGGAGGAGUGGGAGAGAGGAAGAAGAGGGGGAGGCGUGUGAGAGAGGAAGAAGAGGAGGAGGAAUGGGAGGAGUGGGAGAGAGGAAGAAGAGGAGGAGGAUCUGUCUCGCUCACAGACAGUGGUGAAUGACAGCCCGUUCCUUCUUUUUUAUGGGCUGUUGGGAGUUAUUAAUUUGAGAAUGGCACUGCAGAGCAAUACGAUGGUAAUUUACCGCGUGGGUGCCUAAGUGAUGAGUUUGGGGAGAAAGAGAUUCACAGACUGAAGUAAUCAGAAGAACCUUGAAAAAGACAGAUGAGGUGGUUGACCGAGCAGUUAGGCGUCAUUACAAGUGAAAUCAAUUUUAAUGACGCAUAACUUCUCGGCCGUGAGGUCAAUAUGGUUUAAAGUCAAAAACAUCAACACAGAUGAAAAGGUAUAAAGGCACGCACAGACUCUCUCUCACUCUCUCACACACACACACACACACACACACACACACACACACACACACACACACAUGCAGACACACACACACACACACACACACACACACACACACACACACACACACACACACACACACACACACACACACACACACACACAGUGGCGGCUGGUGGUUUUUAAAGUGAGGAAGGAAGGACUGCACGCUUGGUUGCCAUUGGCCUGCUUGCACUGUUGGUGUAUGUUGGCAUAAGAAUGUGAGACUCAAGUUUUUUUAGGGUGUUUUGGUGAACUACAAAAUAGUAGGGAGGGAUAGUGAUUUUUUUUUUUUAUGUGAAUAAAAAAAUAAAAUGGAUACAAAGCCACCAGUUUUAUCACUGUAAUCUGAAAGCUGGUGGGCAGCGUAUCUUUGAAAUGGACAACAAGGGCAGAAGGAAAGGAUGGAAAGCCCAUUAGUCAAAUCAGGCCUGCUCUUGAUUUGUAAAAGUAAAUAAAAAAAUCGGGGCCUAUUUUUGCCCUCAAUGGCUGAGGUUAUUGGAUGUAAUUUAGCUAUGUUUAUUUUCAGUUACAAUUGUUUUAAGAAAAGACUCAAGACCAAAAGUGAUGCCAUUUAAUAUGCAUCAUGCUCUGAAUCAUUCACCCUUUCCACACCCUUUCCACAAUAUCCAACAGAACGGUCAGAGUAACUAGUAAAAGAACAAGAACAUUAUUUCAAACAACCUGGGGCCGUAUUCACAAAGGAUCUUAGGGCUAAAAGUAGGUCCUAACUGGCGAAUUUAGGAGUAACUCCUAAAAAUAAUGGGUGUGUCACUCUUAAAUUUAGGACUCCUAACUUUUUUCACUAAGAGCAAUUCACAAAGUAUUUUAGGCCUAAAAGUAGCACCGAAGUCUAGGAGAGCUUAAAAGUCCUCAAGAGGACUCCUAACUCAGUAAGACCUAUUCACAAAGAAUCGUAAAAUGCCUGCGAGACGAAAUGUUAGGGUAUUAAACUUGUUGUGGAGUAGUGUGCGAUGCAAUAACAUCCCCGACUAACAGGAAUAAUCCGAUUCGUCCCGAAAUAAAAUGUUUGGCCACACUACGUUAUUUAGCAACAGGGGAAAUGCAACUUUGCAAUGCAGACGAUUUAAAAAAAUCGCAACCAUCAGUCAGCCGUGCCAUAAACUUUCCUUUGGACAUUCAACAAUUACACAGGAUCAAAGCCAACUUCAUGGCACUUGCAGGUAUGCCCGGUGUGGUCGGUGCUAUUGACGGGACGCACAUAAAAAUAAUUGCGCCAUCAAAAGACGAGGACGUGUUCGUCAAUAGGAAGAAAGUGCAUUCCAUCAACACGCAGGUUGUUUUUGAUGCAAAUUUUAACAUGGCCUACUGGAUGUUGUUGCAAAGUGGCCUGGAGCUUCAGCUACCCAUGAUCCGCGCAUUUUAAUGGUGUGCGGUCUGAGGCAGCUUUUUGAGAUGUACCAGUUGGGUGUCACUUGCUGGGUGACAGUGAUUAUCCAUGCAAGAAGUGGCUCUAGACACCGUGGCUCUAGACACCCUACCUCAAUCCACAACCGGUCGUGUAUGUUUGUGUGCUCUAGCAUAUAUGGAAGAAAUCAGUAAACGAUAAUAAAUAUGGAUUCAACAAAUAAAAGGCAUCAAAGAGCCAAUACGAUGUGUUUUACGCAUAGGACUAAGUGUAAUCUGCGUAAUCACUUACAUGUUAUACUUUAAUGUUGUGGAGAGAGGAAUUGGGCAGAUGAAACGUCGGUUUCAUGUCCUCCACGGCGAAAUACGCCUCACCCCAGAUAGGGCAAGCACAGUAAUCAUUGAAUGUGCCAUUCUACACAACCUCUGCAAGCGGAGGAACAUUCCACAACCAGACGAUGAUGAUGAUGAUGAUGAUGAUGAUGAUGGCGAUCAACAUGACAAGGAAUUUGGCCGUGUGGUACCGAGUGGACAGGCAUUUAGGGAUCACUUUGAAAACACAUUUUAGGUAAACACCUUGGCACAAAUCAGUCAACACUUAGGCAGUUCAUAACAUUUAUUUUCUUUUAAAUUUUACGUAUUUUUACUGUUUGCUUUCUCUCUCUCUUGAACGUGCAGGCUACAACGUCAUUAUCGUGGUCUGCACAAAAUUGUCAUCAUGCGUGUAUUCUGCUAACUGCACUAUAACUACUUAAUAGGAAUUCAUUUCUAGCCUAGGCUAUUUCCUUGUUUUUCGGUGAUUCAGUGGGCUCGUCUGAACAACCAAUCACCGAACUGACCGCUUCUAAACUCGUGCACGAGAAUUGACGUAAUCCAUAGCAACGGCGCGUCACUCUUAGUUCACUCUUUGUGAUUUAUCCUUAGUAAGAGUAGGUCUCAGCGGCUUUGUGAAUAACUUUUAAGAAAAAACUCCUACGUAAAAUGUUUUAGCGCGAGUUAGGAGCACUCCUAGCGGUAAGAUAAGAUGCUUUGUGAACACGGCCCCUGAUCUAUAGGCAUGGUGGCUUGCAAGGAAAGUCGCAUAGCAGCACCAACGUGAACUUGACACUUCACAUCAGUGAAACCAUGAACAGCCCACGUUGGAGAUUUGCCAUUAUUCAUUAGCAAACAGGGCCAGCAAUACAGUCGAUUGCUAGUAAUGCUACCAGUAAGCCAUGAGUAUAUAGCAAACCAUGUAGCACCCACAACACUGACGUUGCCAUUUCUUUUGGUGAUCUCGAUUUUGCGAAGUGGUCUAGCUGUUUCUUUGGUCGCUAACUUAGCACUGUAACUCAAUGAAUGGAAUGCUUUGUAAUUAAACAUGAACAAUGCCCUCUGUUUCCAAUGUUUCCAUUGUACACUUUAUUCGCAAAUGUUAGAAUCUCGUUAUCCUUCAGAUGAUUUCACCUGCUUUGCGAAGGUCACACCCACUCAGAGCAGGACUUCCCUCCUCUCUCCCAUUGAAACCCAUGUUAUUCACCGGCCCGCCAGUACUUUCGGGGAAAUGAAUGGGAGUCAACGGAGGCUGAGGGAGGACCUUCCUCCCUGAAGUAAUUGUCAAUAGGCGAUAGGGGGUGCUAAUGUCCCUUCACCCAGGGAAACAAACAUUAUUUAUUCAAAGGCAUUGAACUACUCAUAUUUAAGGGCAUUAAUUCAUUACAGUAGUCUGGGCAAUCUACAUUUUUUAUUCUCAACAAUGUUAGGGAGUAUCUUCCUCCCUCUCCUCAAUGGAGAAGCCUCCACUGACACACACACACACACACACACACACACACACACACACACACACACACACACACACACACACACACACACACACACACACACACACACACACAUACACACACACACACACACACACACACACACACACACACACACACACACACACACACACACACACACACACACACACAAACACACAUAA
Gadus macrocephalus (Pacific cod) is the source of this 3938-nucleotide long non-coding RNA. RefSeq lists it as uncharacterized. The record is from RefSeq and is a predicted model, not a curated record. The transcript has 2 exons. Lineage: Eukaryota; Metazoa; Chordata; Actinopteri; Gadiformes; Gadidae.